This is a non-coding RNA of Paramuricea clavata, 364 nucleotides long. Lineage: Eukaryota; Metazoa; Cnidaria; Anthozoa; Malacalcyonacea; Plexauridae. The record is from the annotation of a GenBank genome assembly.
UGGACUUGUUGGAACAACCUUACUUAUUGCCUGAUAAUAUCAACAAGGUUGUUGCAAGGUGUUAACAGCUUGUUCCAAACUUGUUGACAACUUGGGACACGAAGUGCGAGCACAACUUGUUGACGGCUUGUUGGGAGACUUGCUACAAGAUUUGAGAUUUUUACGCCUGUAAUUUCUGGUCUCGUUCAGAGCAAAACGGUUCUGACAUUGUCAGAUAGAGGAUAAAUGCAUUAACCUAGUGUAUAGAAAGUCGUAGUGAUAGUCCUUGCACCAUGUAGUAUAUGUAUGUGUGCUAUCUUUUGGAUCUUCAGGCUGAACAGCAGGGAUUAUUUUAAGGUGCAGUGAUAACAAUUUGUAAAGUGUC